GUGAAUCAUCGAAUCUUUGAACGCAAAUUGCACUCUCCGCUGAGAGUAUGCCUGUUUGAGUGUCAGCCUAUAAAAAUCGACAUCGUUGCUGUUUCUCGGGGGCGUUCGUCGGAAAUUUUUGCAUCUUAAAUCCUUUUGAUUUAAGUGACUUAAAAUUUUCUUUUGUUGCCGUGAACUUUUCUUAGAUCUAUUUCUUUACACUUGUUAGGUAUCGAUUUUUACU
Molecule: unclassified non-coding RNA, 223 nt
Filed under: Glomus sp.
Lineage: Eukaryota; Fungi; Glomeromycota; Glomeromycetes; Glomerales; Glomeraceae
Description: partial contains 5.8S ribosomal RNA and internal transcribed spacer 2
Rfam family: 5.8S ribosomal RNA (bases 1-65)
Source: RNAcentral